CUUUCAGCCAUUCCUUCCUUAUUAUUAUAAACACUUGGGUUUAUAGGGACAUCUGAUGUUUAUUAGCAGACUGCACAUGGCCGUGUACAGACGGUCACUGUUUUAGCUUAAAUUCUUAAAGCCUUUCCUGAAAAAGAACAAUCACAUUUCUAGUGUAGACAUAACAGGGUUCUCUGUCAUCGUUUUUUGGGAGUCCAAAUUGCAUUGUUUGAAGUUCCACUUUUCUAAAGGUGUAGGUACCCCCCCCCCCCGACCAAAAGGGGAUUUUUCCCUCUUUGUUUUAGAAUUGAAAUAGUCUGAAUAUUUUAUCCAUUUCUUGUACAAGACCAAACUAGUUGUGAGGCAGUGAUUCAUCCCCGUACCACAUACAGUUGCUUAUAGAGCUUUUGUCUUGAUACCUCUCUUGAGAAAGUACCGUGACUCUUUGUUGUGCUCUGUAUAAAGCAGCUUUUCUGCCCUGUUGUGGUAGGGUUGAAAGAUGUGAUUCAUGAUUAAGCUUGGAAAUGAAAAGAUUUUCUUUAAUUUUGUAACUGCUUUGGGUGUCUUCGUGAGUUCUACGUUUUCUGAUUAGUUGAGAAAAUUACUAGAGUUGACUCUGUUUUAAAGCUUAGUCUGAUGUGGUAAUUUGAACAGUCUUUCUGUUGUUCUGACUCUCCUGGAUAAAAAUGCUUAGUCCUGGUAGGUAGCCUCCUUCCCUUCUUUUUCUCUGGGCAUCUAGAGCUAGAGAUGUGGCUUCUGCAACCUUACUUUUCUGGGGAAACAAGAUACUCUCACUUACUAGCGUUCUUUAUCUUCCUUUUUAGUACCUCUGCCGCCUGGGUGAUGCCUCUUUCCUCCCUGAUACCUGGCACCACUGAUUCCCAAGUCAGCAGCCAGUCAACGUGGGGCCCAUUCUUGUGGCUUAGGCCAUGCCCAGCAUUUGCUUGACUUCACCUUGGUUCUGCUGGUGCUACAAACUGUCUGAAGUCUGGCUGGGAAGCUCAGUUGUUCCUGGCUCACAUGAUUUGCUCUCCAGCCCUUGCUGCAGAGACCUUUCUCCUUGCUAGGAUGAUCCCUCUGGCCAGUGCCCCAGCCAGACUCACAGGGACUUCUCUGUCUGGUCUGUUCCAAGUAGAACCAAGCAUGGCCCCCUUCACAGGGCACCCAAUGCAGAACAGGGCCGAGAGCCCCCUCUGCCUUCCACAUCACUCCUGACUGAACACACCUCUUUCUCUCAGGGCCAAAGCCUGGGCAGUAGAAAUUGGUCCAACCUCUUGACUUUCUCUCUCUCCCACAAUAUACCUGUUUCAUAUCCCACAUAUCCCUGUAUCAUAACGUUCCUUUUAGCUAGUCCUGUGGCUUUGCUGUUACAGUUGGAAGGCGGCUAUCUUUUCCAUGCUGGAGGAGAAUUCUGUGAGGUCCAUUAUUAAAAGGAGGUAGGGAUGGGGGAAAGGAAUAAAGCGGUUUGUCAAACUCUCUUUAGAUAAAUCUGUGGCAUGGCUAACAAAGUUAUAUAGUGUUGCUGAAUGAUCCUAUUUUGCAAGUCAGAAGUGAUUAUUCAUUUUUUUUUGGUAGCAUUUCUGUAAUCUUUUUUUUUCUUAGGCUGAUGAACACAUUACGUCAAAAGGCAAAAGAGGACGUAUGGCUCCUCCUCCAAGUCCACAAGUCUGUCAUGAGUACUCAAGAUGACCCUGGUCCUGCUGCUCUCCGUUCCCAUUCUACAUGUGGUCAAUAAAGCUUCCCAUUUUGUGUCAAAUAUC
Non-coding RNA from Leptonychotes weddellii (Weddell seal), 1739 nucleotides. Lineage: Eukaryota; Metazoa; Chordata; Mammalia; Carnivora; Phocidae. The record is from RefSeq and is a predicted model, not a curated record.